This 138-nucleotide non-coding RNA is filed under the name Paraburkholderia tropica. The record is from RNAcentral. Lineage: Bacteria; Pseudomonadati; Pseudomonadota; Betaproteobacteria; Burkholderiales; Burkholderiaceae.
CCUGUUGUACAACCAGCAGUUGCCUAUCCGGACAUGCGUGACUGGUAACGGCCGGGUGUGACGCUCUGGAGAGAACGUGCCUCUGAAUCGAAGGUUCACCUCGGUAACGAGGAAGUGAAAGACAACACCAGCAAAACC